Molecule: long non-coding RNA, 1210 nt
Organism: Homo sapiens (human)
Lineage: Eukaryota; Metazoa; Chordata; Mammalia; Primates; Hominidae
Product: long intergenic non-protein coding RNA 2882
Source: Ensembl
CUGUAAGCCAAGGAGAGAGGCCUCAGAAAAAAAUCCACCCUGCUAAGAGCUUGAUCUUGGACUUACAGCCUCCAGGACUAUCUCAAAUUAACAGCCCAUUAUUAUGGAAGUUCUUUAUUGAUCGCCAAAAUGGGUUAGGUAUACCUGUUUCAUCAUUGCCUAGAAUACCCUACUUCAAACAAUGAAACUCACUUUCAAUCUAUCAUCAUCUUUCACUCUUCAGUGAAACCCCAUGUAGCUUCCAGAUGUGGUUUCAGGAUUUCUCUAUAUUGUUGGAGAGAACAAGAACCUGAGACCUGCCGAACAGCAGGUGCCAAAGAUGCUGCUGUAACACCACAGCCCUCCCAUCUUCCAUCCUCCACUGGCGCUGAGUGGCAGUCCCAUGUGACAGGAAGUGGAGGCAGAGCUGGGCCAGCCCAGGAGCCACGUGCUGGAGCCAGAUACUCUGUUUUUCUACAAAUGGAAAGUUUGUGGCAUCCUUGACUCAAGCAAAUUUUUCAGCACCAUUUUUCAAGAGCGUGUGCUCACUUCACCUCUCUGUAUCGUGUUUUGAUGCUUGUCCUGGAAACCAACCAUGAGCUGUGAUGAAAUCCAGGCAACUGAGUUGUGUUUCAGCCCAAAGCAGCAAAUGGAAUCCAGCUUCAGGACCAUCAUCUGACAUAGGGGAAGAAGACUUACAUAGAAGGCCUAACCAGCACCCAAGAUCAUGCUCAUAGGUGGAGGAGACUUGCUUUGUCUCAGAUGAGACUUUGGACUGUGGACUUUUGAGUUAAUGCUGAAAUGAGUUGAGACUUUGGGGAACUGUUGGGAAGGCAUGAUUGGUUUUAAAUAUGAAUAUAUGAGAUUUGGGAGGGGGUCAGGGGUGGAAUGAUAUGGUUUGGCUCUGUGUCCCCACCCAAAUCUCAUCUUGUAGCUCCCAUAAUCCUCCCAUGUUGUGGGAGGGACCCAGUGGGAGAUGAUUGAAUCAUGAGGGCGGGUCUUUCUCAUGCUGUUCAUGAUCCCAUUCAUGUGAGAAAGACCCAUGUGAUCAUGAAUGGGUCUCACAAGAUCUGAUGGUGUUAAAAAUGGGAGUUUCUCUGCACAAGCUCUCUGCCUGCUGCCAUUCACAAAGGAUGUGACUUGCUUCUCCUUGCCUUCUGCUAUGAUUGUGAGGCCUCCCUAGCCAUGUGGAACUGUGAGUCCAAUUAAACCUCUUUCUUUUGUAAAUUGA